This 1503-nucleotide ribosomal RNA is filed under the name uncultured marine bacterium. RNAcentral describes it as "bacterial SSU rRNA". It matches the Rfam family "Bacterial small subunit ribosomal RNA". The record is from RNAcentral.
UUGAUCCUGGCUCAGGAUGAACGCUAGCGGCAGGCUUAACACAUGCAAGUNNNNNNGUAACAGGGAUUGCUUGCAAUCCGCUGACGACCGGCGCACGGGUGCGUAACGCGUAUGCAACCUACCUUUUACUGGGGGAUAGUCAAGAGAAAUUUUGAAUAAUACCCCAUACGAUCCAAUUCACUCCUGUGAGAUGGAAGAAAGCUUNNNNNNNNNNNNAUGGGCAUGCGUCCUAUUAGUUUGUUGGUGAGGUAACGGCUUACCAAGACUUCGAUAGGUAGGGGUCCUGAGAGGGAGAUCCCCCACACUGGUACUGAGACACGGACCAGACUCCUACGGGAGGCAGCAGUGAGGAAUAUUGGACAAUGGAGGCAACUCUGAUCCAGCCAUGCCGCGUGCAGGAAGACGGCCCUAUGGGUUGUAAACUGCUUUUAUACAGGAAGAAACGUUAGUACGUGUACUAACCUGACGGUACUGUAAGAAUAAGGAUCGGCUAACUCCGUGCCAGCAGCCGCGGUAAUACGGAGGAUCCAAGCGUUAUCCGGAAUUAUUGGGUUUAAAGGGUCCGCAGGCUGUUUGUUAAGUCAGAGGUGAAAUCCUACCGCUCAACGGUAGAACUGCCUUUGAUACUGGCAAACUUGAGUUAUUGUGAAGUAGUUAGAAUGUGUAGUGUAGCGGUGAAAUGCAUAGAUAUUACACAGAAUACCGAUUGCGAAAGCAGAUUACUAACAAUAUACUGACGCUGAGGGACGAAAGCGUGGGUAGCGAACAGGAUUAGAUACCCUGGUAGUCCACGCCGUAAACGAUGGUCACUAGCUGUUUGAUGUACAUUGGUACAUUGAGUGGCUAAGCGAAAGUGAUAAGUGACCCACCUGGGGAGUACGCUCGCAAGAGUGAAACUCAAAGGAAUUGACGGGGGCCCGCACAAGCGGUGGAGCAUGUGGUUUAAUUCGAUGAUACGCGAGGAACCUUACCAGGACUUAAAUGUAAGUUGCAUGAUUCAGAAAUGGAUCUUUCUUCGGACUACUUACAAGGUGCUGCAUGGUUGUCGUCAGCUCGUGCCGUGAGGUGUCAGGUUAAGUCCUAUAACGAGCGCAACCCCUAUCGUUAGUUGCCAUCAAGUAAAGUUGGGAACUCUAGCGAAACUGCCGGUGCAAACCGUGAGGAAGGUGGGGAUGACGUCAAAUCAUCACGGCCCUUACGUUCUGGGCUACACACGUGCUACAAUGGCCGGUACAGAAAGCAGCCACUAUGCGAAUAGGAGCUAAUCUUCAAAGCCGGUCUCAGUUCGGAUCGCAGUCUGCAACUCGACUGCGUGAAGCUGGAAUCGCUAGUAAUCGGAUAUCAGCCAUGAUCCGGUGAAUACGUUCCCGGGCCUUGUACACACCGCCCGUCAAGCCAUGGAAGCUGGGGGUACCUGAAGUCGGUGACCGAAAGGAGCUGCCUAGGGUAAAACUGGUGACUGGGGUUAAGUCGUAACAAGGUAGCCGUACCGGAAGGUGCGGC